Molecule: ribosomal RNA, 253 nt
Filed under: uncultured bacterium
Lineage: Bacteria
Description: partial 16S ribosomal RNA
Rfam family: Bacterial small subunit ribosomal RNA
Source: RNAcentral
UACGUAGGGGGCAAGCGUUGUCCGGAAUCAUUGGGCGUAAAGCGCGCGUAGGCGGCCAGAUAAGUCCGGUGUGAAAGUCACAGGCUCAACCUGUGAAUGCCGCUGGAAACUGUCUGGCUUGAGUCCGGAAGGGGCGAGUGGAAUUCCUGGUGUAGCGGUGAAAUGCGCAGAUAUCAGGAGGAACACCGAUGGCGAAGGCAGCUCGCUGGGACGGUACUGACGCUGAGACGCGAAAGCGUGGGGAGCAAACAGG